This 2505-nucleotide long non-coding RNA is filed under the name Homo sapiens (human). RNAcentral's name for it is "uncharacterized LOC101927531 (LOC101927531)". Lineage: Eukaryota; Metazoa; Chordata; Mammalia; Primates; Hominidae. The record is from RNAcentral.
CUUUAUUUCCUGUUAGCUCCAUUUCUGGCCUUUGGUCUCUUUCUCGGAAAGCAGGCCUCAGUGGCCUCAGUUUCUUCCCAGAACCUGCAAUGCCCCACCAAGGUGACAAGAAGUGCAAGGAGUCGGUUUUCACUGCCAACCAAAGAGGUGACCCCCGCAAAGCAACCAUGUUGGGACAGUCCAUUUGCUGCGUUUUGAUUAUUUGCUAAGAGCAAAUACCUUUUCUGUUUGGGUUUUGCUUUUAGAAAAAAAAUGUGGCAGAUGGUGGUGGCUUUCCCCGUCAUUGAAAGAAGAAAGGUAGUAACUCUACUGGUGCACUCCUCUGAGUUGUGCUAACAAAGAAGAAUGCUGAAAGAAAAGGGAAAUGAACACCAUUUUCAGGCAGCUUCUCCAAGUUUUUUUGACAGUGUUAUAAUUUUCCUUUAGCGACUGUUGAAGCAAAUAUCUGUAUUUAUGUUCAGAUUAAACCGAGAGAGCAAAGACUGCUAAAGCCAGUAAUUUCUGGGCUGCAAAUGCAGGAUAGCUCCAGUGAAUUUCAGAUUCUUAAAGGUUUUUGCUGUAGCGAAUUCAUGACACAAAGCAUUUGGAGGGAAACCUAUUAGAGAAGAAACACAUCCUAAAUGAGAAUUACUGAGGACGGGAGGCUCUUGUCAUUUAUUGGAUUAGUUAUAGCACUUUACACAAGCCUGUAAUAUUUGUUCUGCUGCUGUGGUGUGACUGGUAAAAUGAAAAGGUAUGUCAAGGGAGUGCUUGACUGACGUUCUUAUUUCUUCCGUCUUCUUAUAUUGCUGGGAGGAUUCUACCACUGCAGGGCUAGAAAUUAAUAUCACACUCAUUUGAUAGGAAGAGCAAAAGCAAGGUUAUGAGUCAGAGACAUUUUGGUCCCAGAACAAUAACUCUAUUGAUUGAGUCAAAUAUGUUUAACUCCAACAGCAAGACCUUCCAUCUGCGUGAAAUAAUCAUGUCCGUUAAUUGUAAACAGGAGCAUCUUUGAAAGCUGAGCUAGAGGCGGAGCAACUGGUAAACCAGAUGUCCCAAAUUUCUAGGUUUGUACAUUGUAAUUGUUCUAGACUUGUGUGUGGAUAUUGGUAAAAUGACAUAGUCAGAUAUCUCACAGAUUUUGUGAGAUAUGUCCAAAGUUCCCAAGUUAAUUUAUUACUAAAGUUAGAAUUUCACUUACUGUGAGAUUGGAAUGCCAGCCAGCUACUGAACCUUAUGUGUGCCUAGGGGCCAUUUUGAGACAAUUUGCUGAAUAUUAAAAGUACAACCAAUAAUGUUUCUCUCCACAUCCACAAUAGCGCUUAGAGGAAGCAUCUGGGAUUGAGCCAUCUCACAUCUGUCUAAUCACAUUCAUUCAAAUGUGAUGGGCCCAACUGGCCUACGUACAUGGCUGCAUAUCACCAUGGGUGGAAAUUAAAUCAGAAUUUGGCUCAGGAGAGAGAUGAAGAGAAAAUGCACGUAGAUAAUUGGCUCAGAUAACAUUCUGUUUCUGGAAGUCACAAAGAGUGGAAAUUGGAAUAUGUAAAUUAAAGAAAAACAGUCCUUAAGAUCAAGUCCGCAAUGGAAGAAGAGCAUUCAUCUGGUACAGGUUGAUGAUUGUGUAAGCCCAAGGAGUGAUGUCAACACUGGGGUUCACCUGAGAACAUGGACAUGGUUGAUGAGGGUUUAGGAGAUGCUCAUACGAAGUCUUCAUAUGUUCCCUGGAUCCCAGCUCUGCCUUCCCACCAGAGAGGAUGUAAUUCAGCCGAGAUGCCCAGAGUCAGCUCUCUGCUCAUAUCUGUUCCGCACUGAAGCCAAUCAUCUGAGAAACCUAAGAAGUGUUUAAUGUAGUUAGGAAAGUGAGGGAUGAAGACCAUAAAUUCCUUUUCAUGUAGCAGAGUAUAUAUGUGAUACUCAUUCUGUGGUAUUUGGGGCAUAAACAAGAGUCGAUGAAGGAAUGUGAAAGUACUCGAAAUCCUGACUUUUAUCUCUAUAAAAAUGGCAUAGGGAUGAAACACACUUGGUUGUUAUGACUGUACUCUUUUCAGAUUUACUACUUGCCUUUCUACUGAUUUUUCUGUGCCACAGGUCUUGACUCCUGUAGGCUAAAUUUCUCAGCCUCUUCUGCUCACUGAUAUAUGGGAAGGUUUGGCCAAAGGUGGGUGACUGGUGGGGAGAAGGAUGAGGGAAUUCAGGGGAUUGCUGAGCCCAUUCUCUAGACAGUGCUGCUGGCACUGGCUCUGUCUUCUCCGUUUCCAUCUCGCAUCAGACGGUUCUUCCCUCUAUGGGCCUAGUCCUACCUAGACACUUUCCAGUUGGAUUCCAGUUCUGGGGAUGCUCCCUCCUGCAGGGAUCUAAGUCCUUCCCAUUGUCUUCGGCUCCUGGGCUCAGCUAGAACCAUCUUUUCCCAUUGUCCCUGUGGUGCUAGGGCUUUCAGUGGUUAUUAACGUCUGUGUUGUAUCAUCUUGCCUGAAUUUCAGCUCUCUGUAACCAGUUCCCCAAAUAAAAUUCCCCCCAUUUACCUAC